Raphanus sativus (radish) is the source of this 386-nucleotide long non-coding RNA. RefSeq lists it as uncharacterized. The transcript has 3 exons. Lineage: Eukaryota; Viridiplantae; Streptophyta; Magnoliopsida; Brassicales; Brassicaceae. The record is from RefSeq and is a predicted model, not a curated record.
AAUUUAUGAGAAACAAAAUAUUUUAGCACAGGGACUAUAAUUUAUCUAAGCCGGGCCUGCCUGCAGCAAAGAAGGCAGUUAUUAAAGGACUUUCGUUUGAUCCCAUCGGUCUGCUCACAUUCAAAUUAGCUAAAAGAGGCAGUGAAGUGAGAUUCGUGGACUUUUUUCGUAAACAAUAUAAGCGUAAAGUGACUUAUCUACAUCUUCCUGCAAUCCAAAUUGGGGCUGGUGAAUACGUGCCUAUGGAGUUCUGCCGUAUAGCUAGUGGCCAGCCGUACACACAACGUCUUAGUGAGCAGGCAUUCCGUCUUAGUCGAGAGCAAGCGAAGAAUUUCCGAAGUGCUUCUGUCAUAACGCCUGGCAGGAGAGAGAGUAUGAUACAAACG